AUCCCUUCCUCCGUGUGAGGACACAGCAAGAAGACAGCCUCUGUAAACCAGGAGGUGGGCCCUCACCAGACACUGAAUCUGCGGGCAUCUUGAUCUUGGACUUCCAGCCUCCAGAACUGCUCUGGAACGGCACAGAAGAAUUCGUCGGCCCUAACGUUCUGGUAAAAUUCCGCUGCGGAAACAUCUGGACCUGGUGUUCUUUUGGAGCGGCUCUUUGCUUUUCUUCUCUACUUCUCCUGUGAUAGUUGGCUUAAGGUACUGAUUCUCUUCAAGCUGAAUGCUAUGAUUUGCCCCGUAGAGUAGCCAUGGGCAGCAAACGUGGAUUCAUACAGCUGUCUGAGAAGGUUCCCAAUGAAUACGUGAAUUUAGAACCAUCUUUGAAAAAGAGGAAGGCACAAAGAAGAAGAGUGCACUUACCAGAACUUAAGCUCAUAAGCUGGUGAAGCAAGAUCCCUGUACGGGCCACCAGAAGAAAUGAUGCGGGCUCGGCGAGCCGAGGAGUUGAAAGAAAGAUUUCUUGGACUCUCAAGGUCUAGGAGCAGGGCUCCUUUAUUCAGAGU
This 560-nucleotide long non-coding RNA is filed under the name Equus caballus (horse). RNAcentral describes it as "lncRNA (ENSECAG00000055298.1)". The record is from RNAcentral. Lineage: Eukaryota; Metazoa; Chordata; Mammalia; Perissodactyla; Equidae.